AAUAAAGCAACUAAGGAAUAAUAAUUUAACAAAAGACACCACAACAAGGAAAUGACAGUCAAAAGGGUGAUAAUUUAGGCCAUAAUAAUGUUACAAUUCCUAUUAUUAAACAGAUUAAAUACCUUAGAUAGAUAUGCAACACAACCCAAUACUACACCAGAUAAAAAAGUUUUGGGUAACUACCAUUUGCCCAGAUAUAAGGUCAAAAUCAAUAGCAAGUCCCCGAAGUUUGGCAGUCAAGUUAAUUGGUCCCUCACAUUUAAG
RNAcentral lists this unclassified non-coding RNA (264 nucleotides) under Hevea brasiliensis (rubber tree). The record is from RNAcentral. Lineage: Eukaryota; Viridiplantae; Streptophyta; Magnoliopsida; Malpighiales; Euphorbiaceae.